This 497-nucleotide ribosomal RNA is filed under the name uncultured bacterium. RNAcentral's name for it is "bacterial SSU rRNA". It matches the Rfam family "Bacterial small subunit ribosomal RNA", at positions 30 to 518 of the family's 1533-position model. The record is from RNAcentral.
UGAACGCUAGCGACAGGCCUAACACAUGCAAGUCGAGGGGCAGCGCGGGAGAAGCUUGCUUUCCUGGCGGCGACCGGCGCACGGGUGCGUAACAGGUGUGCAAUCUGUCCAUAGUCGGGGGAUAGCCCAGCGAAAGCUGAAUUAAUACUCCAUGUGAAUCGAAGCCGCAUGACUUUGAUUUGAAACGCAAGGACUAUGGGUGAGCACGCUUCUGAUUAGGUAGUUGGUGGGGUAACGGCCCACCAAGCCGACGAUCAGUAGGGGUUCUGAGAGGAAGGUCCCCCACAUUGGAACUGAGACACGGUCCAAACUCCUACGGGAGGCAGCAGUGAGGAAUAUUGGUCAAUGGGCGAGAGCCUGAACCAGCCAAGUCGCGGUAGAAGGAUGAAGGUUCUAUGGAUUGUAAACUUCUUUUGUCCGAGGGUAAAAAAGGCCACGUGUGGCUUCUUGCAAGUAUCGGACGAAUAAGCAUCGGCUAACUCCGUGCCAGCAGCGGC